This 214-nucleotide ribosomal RNA is filed under the name Salmonella enterica. Its description in RNAcentral is "partial 16S ribosomal RNA". It matches the Rfam family "Bacterial small subunit ribosomal RNA", at positions 1320 to 1533 of the family's 1533-position model. RNAcentral also lists the same sequence under 3 other names. The record is from RNAcentral. Lineage: Bacteria; Pseudomonadati; Pseudomonadota; Gammaproteobacteria; Enterobacterales; Enterobacteriaceae.
GUGAAGUCGGAAUCGCUAGUAAUCGCGAAUCAGAAUGUCGCGGUGAAUACGUUCCCGGGCCUUGUACACACCGCCCGUCACACCAUGGGAGUGGGUUGCACCAGAAGUAGCUAGUCUAACCUUCGGGAGGACGGUUACCACGGUGUGAUUCAUGACUGGGGUGAAGUCGUAACAAGGUAGCCGUAGGGGAACCUGCGGCUGGAUCACCUCCUUA